Long non-coding RNA from Medicago truncatula (barrel medic), 3102 nucleotides. RefSeq lists it as uncharacterized. The record is from RefSeq and is a predicted model, not a curated record. The transcript has 2 exons. NCBI's taxonomy places the organism in Eukaryota, Viridiplantae, Streptophyta, Magnoliopsida, Fabales, Fabaceae.
GCUUCAUUGCUUAGAAUAAAUGUUAUUUAGUACAAAAUGUCUGAGAUGAAAUUGAAUAUUAAAGUCUUAGUAAAUGAGUACUGACAAAAUUACCAAAGAGGAUCAAAACAUUUAAGAUAGGAAUAAUUUGUGGCUGAUGAUGUUGCUCCUAAUAGUGAUACAAUACUUACUUUCUCUCUAACAUCAUUCCAAUCCGGUCCUUCUUCUCUCACACUCUAUUCAUACCCAUCCAUGAAUUCACUCCAGAGCGGUGAGUGGCUUCGUUCUUCCCUCCUAACCCCCAACUUCCACCAAACAAACAAACAAUCAUGACCGAACACGGCAAACUCAAAUCCUACUCCGGCCACCCUCCUCCGCCGUCGGUUUCCCUCACCCCGACCCUCCUCCUGGAUCCGACCCCUCCGCCCCUAUUACAGUUAUGGCUACUAAGCUUUUUCCGAUUUAUCUCUGUUCUUGACUGGCUCCUCUUUGUUGUUGAUAUCUAAGCUCUAAUCCAGGUAACCAAUGACGGUUUGAUUUAAUCAUAUGUGUUUUAUUCUUUGAUUUCCUUCACAUUUUAUGAGUCUUACUAACCUAAUUUGAUUACCCUUCAGCAAAAUUUGGACUUUGCACCUUCAUGCACACCUUUUUUCUUUUUCUUUUUUAUGUUUACAAAACUCAAUUUCCUCGGUUGUGUAACGAUUAAGUUAUAUGUACUGUGAAGGGCAUUGUUAGUAUGCAAGAGCCAUGUCAAUUAAUUCAUUUCAAGUUAUGGAUUGUUUUCCUUGAUUUUUUUUUUCUUCAAACAUCCAAUGUGUAUUUUAAUGGAUUAUAUGUAAAUGUCAUCUUUCGUCUGUGUAUACUACUGUUAAGCUACUUCUUCUAGGUGUUCUGCCAUAUCACUAUGAAGCUACUUCUUCUCUGUUUGAGUCAUUCUUCUCACCACAUCGGUGCUCUGCCAUUUUCUUACAUGAUUUAGGUUAUUUCUGCUUUUGGUUGUUUUUUUCUUUACAUCACUUCAUAUAUUCUUCUUUUAUCUUUAAUUUUGCUUUUGGUUGUUGUGCUCAAUAUACUAUUUCAAAUGUGGCUGCUAAAGUGAUUCUUGAAACUUGAAAACAAUGUUAUGUAAAUUUGUUUAACUCUAUGUGAUUUAAAUCUUAUAUUUGAAGCAAGAAUGUCAAAUAGCUAUCGGUGAUCAAUGAUAUUAAAUCAUUUUAUCUUAUUGUAAUGGUUGAAUAACUGUUGAGAAUGUAACAGUUUUGUUCAAUGAAUUGUUUACUAAGCUGAGAUUAUUGAUCACAAUAUACGUUUAUUCAUACUCUGUUAAAAAUGAGUUCUUUUUUGAAUUCUUAGGUAGCUCUCGCUGUUGAGUUCCAACUCCUUCACUUAUAUAAACUUAAAAAAGUGCUAACGAGUUCUUUUUUAAAUUAGGACUUAUUUACUUGACCUUCUGACUUAGAAAGUUCUAUAGUACUUUCAAUUAUGCAGGAUUUAGGGAGUACUCAGUUAUUGAAGAUCAAUAUUAAUACGUUGUGUCAUUGUUGUAUUUUUUUACAUUCUAAUUCUGUCAGUUUCGUAUCUGCUACUGUUCUAUAUAAUAAGGUACCUUUGAUGUAGUUGUGUGGUACCUUUUGUACUCUGUUUGUGUCUAAGUACAAUUUAUCAUUCCUUUUAGGUUGGCUAUAAUGUUUUGUAGGAAAAAAUUUGGUUUUUAUUUAGUGAUUGACACUUGAGUAUUUUGGAGAAAGAUUUGAAAAAGAGAGGUUAGUUUACUGACUGAUAAGUAUUAGAACUUUGGAGAGAGAUUUGGAAAAGAUGUCAGUUCAUCAUCUUUAGUAUUGGAAUAAUAUGUCAAUGAAUUAUAUUUUCCAUGCCUUUUAUGUUGUCACUUUCCAAUUUUGUUUUACCAUUUUGUGCAGAAGGUGUCAAAUGUAGAAAAUUUGGAUUUGGAUUGGUUUUACAUAGUGUUUUCUGAGUUAAUUAUUCUAUUUCAGCUACAUAACUUUCUUCUAACUUUUUCUUUGUUAUAAAAGUUAUAAUAUUGUUUUCUGUCAAGCUUCCUUGAUUUAUCAUAGAUUAUAUAACAAUGAUUUAAACUAACUUCAGUUGGAUCAUGUAAGGUUCAAUCCAUAUCAAGUUAAAUGUUAAAGUAUCCUCCUUUGUUUCUCUAUGCUCAAUUGACUCAAAUAUCCCCUCUUGGUAAUUCUUUUAAAUUACAUUAAAGAAAAUAUUAUUUUCUUUUUGAUUUGUUUCUUUGUCGUCUCAUUUAGAUCAUUAGAGUUGCAAACCAAUGUUAUACUAUAUGCAUCUCACUUUUUAGUCAUGUCAAUUUAAGUGGUUAGGAAAUUUAUGGAAUAAGCUAAUUACACAGUUAGUGUACGGCAGCUUUGCUGUUGCUUUCAUACUGUUGAGUGUUAUACUUCAACCUUGAUUUAGUUUCCCUUAUAAUGGCAGCUUUGGCAUGCUGUAAAUUUAUAAUUUUUUUCUAAUUCUCAUGUACGGAAGUACUUACAUAUUUGUAAUAGAAAAUUAUUGCUUUCUUUUAUGCCCAUCACAUAGAGGAUAUAGAAUAAUACCACCCUACGACCAAAAGGAAACUCAUAAAAGGAUGAUCUUUAGUUUAAAGCUAAAGAGAUGGAAAAAAAUGUAUUCAACCCAAUUAGGGGGCGAAGAAGUGUUAAAGAGUCUAAAAUGUCAAGACUGUGGGAACCAAGCAAAGAAGGAUUGUGCAUACUCAAGGUGCAGAAGUUGCUGCAAAAACAAAGAUUUUAACUGCCAUACACAUAUCAGAACUUCAGAAGCACUUGGAUUCCUGCUGAUAGAAAAUUAGUGGAAAAAAAGAUCUGAAAUGCAUCCUAAAAUGCCAUGGAUCGUGAUUGAAGAUUCAAAGUAAUCAAGGAGCAUUAUUUCGUAAUAUUAGUUAUGCCGACAUGUCUUAAGUGAAACCAUUUUGGCUAUCUAAUUGUUUGUUGUCCCUUUCUUAGUUAAAAUUUUCCAUUUAUGGAGUUGUCAUAUUUUGUGUGAAUUAUGUAAGGGCUGGGUUAACUAUUUUGGAUACAAAUUUGUAUUUGCACCUUUUGCUGGAUUGGCAUUAAUUAAGUAUUUUUUGUUUUUAAGCUUGAA